This is a non-coding RNA of Aedes albopictus (Asian tiger mosquito), 73 nucleotides long. The record is from Rfam. Lineage: Eukaryota; Metazoa; Arthropoda; Insecta; Diptera; Culicidae.
CGUUCUGUGGCUUAGUUGGUUGAAGCGCCGGACCAGCGAUACGGAGUCGUGGGUUCGAACCGUACCAAAACAA